GCGCCGCGCCCGCACCCAACGCAACCCAAUCCCCUCGUCCUGCCUGCACGCCGUGCACACUCCGGUCACCUCAUCCCGCACGAACUCUAGGAGAGAGAGAGAUAUGAAGAUGAGAGGGAGAGAAAGGGGAGAGGAGAGGAGAGGGAGGUCCGGCAGCGGACGGGAGAGGGUGACCGGCCGGCGUCGGCCUACACCGGCGAGGCGUCGGCCUGCGCCCCGCCUCCUCGCUGCUCCAUUUACUCCACCUAUUUCUCUUCGGCUGCCGGCCUCCCAGCCGCCCCCACCCCCGCACCUCACAACGGCAUUUCCUGAGGAGCAGCCCGAGCGAGGCCAACAGGCGGAAGGAGCGGAUCAUGGCCUCGCACGCUGGCUCGUCAUCUGCUUUGGCACCUUUCGGAUCCGCGCUGCUGCGUGCGAUGGUUCUAAAUCAGUGCAGGUCGUCGCCGCGGGAUAGUAGGGCCGGCGGAUUCUUCGCAUCGGGGGCUGGCUGGCAAGGGAGGGUCAGGAGGCCGGCAUGACUUGCUAACGAGUAGAGGUUGAUUAUCUUGCCAUCCUCUCCUGCGUCCACUGUCGCGCCGUUCUGCCUUCGGCGAUUAAUUGAGCUGGUUCUAGGAUCUCCUUUGUUGCUGCAUCUUGAUCUCCUGCUUUGCUGUAACUAUGUUCUGCUGCUUGAUGAUGGAGCAGCAGGCAUAGAUGAAAUCUACUGCCAAUUUCUAUUGGUUGCGGCAUCUUCCGCUGAGUAACUCUACAAAACAGCCUGCUAGCAUUGAUUCUUGCAAUAAAAAAAUAAGUCUGGCAUCAUUCAUGAAAAGCUUAUAGACUUAGAUAAUUUCUUAAUCCUGCACUGGUUCUCACCAGUGAGAUUGUAGAUGUGGUAUUUUGAGAAUACUAGUGUAAUUCACUGGUCCAAAAGCUCCAUUUCUUAAUGUGUUUUUGCAGAAUGCUACCAGUAAUGUUUUUCUUUUCCUUAAUGUACAAACAUAUCUAUUAGAUAUGAUUUUGGAUCUGAACUUUUCCCUGUCUGCAGCUCACAUUGUGGUAUGGUCAUGGUACAGCAAAAGGAAAAGAUGUUUAAACUUUUUUUGGGCGUCAUACAUGAAAAGUACCUUUAUUUCCAUCGAGCUUAAUUACUAAGAAAAUGUUACCACUAUGUCCUUACUAAUAAACCUAAAUGUUCUGAAAGUUCGGUCUCUUGCUCUCUUUGCUUAUGAAUCGGACACUUUCCCUUUCUUUAGUCCUUACACGGUUCCACCUCGCUUUGACUUCAUACUUUGAUGGUGUUUGUAGGUAUGAAGAGUGGUCAUAAUGUUACUUAAAGGAGGCCUCAACUUGCACCAAAUACAUGGGCAUGUGCAACAGCAACUUAUGUAGGUUUCUAAAAUCUAAUAAAUGCUGCUCUCAAAUCAGUUAGGAGGCUGAAGGUAGUAGCUUACUGAACUCUCAUUUCCGGAAAAAUCUGGAGAUGUCUUGGUACGGAGUUUCAUGAUCAACUUGCUCCGGCAUAGUUAGUCUUUCUAGACUAAUUGUUUGUCAGUAUCUAUUCUAUACAUGUGUUUGAUUGGUUGUGCAAACAUGCAUGCAUUGUUCUGUGUGGAAAUUGCUUUAUCCGGUCUGUUCUAUAGCAAUGUUUCCAGUGGCUGUUUAACACAUAUAUUUAGAUAGUUGCAUACGCAUGCUUGGUUCUGCCAGAAAAUUAUCUUCCCUGAUAUGUUUUCAGAUGCUAUUUGGUAUACAUGUUUGUCUUUGUCAUCUUUAUGUUGAGUUGUGGGUUCCAAAGAUAUUUAUGAUGAUUGUUUGCAUGGUGGGUCAUGUCAGCGAUGUGCGUUGCAUAUUCAUGAUUCAAACUCUUUGUUGGGUAUAUAUCUAUAUGAAGUUGUUUUUGAAUGGCCCAUGAUUCGUUUUUUAUUAGUAUUUUAGUUUAAGCAUUUCUCCAGAGAAUCUUGAUAUCCAGCUGUAUAUAUAUCCAGUCAUGUUUUUUUACUCUGACCGAUUUCUUUUUUUGUUUUGUUUUACAGUUUGUACAAUCUCUAAAGAUGGUGCUCCAUUGUUCUGUUAAUCAAGAUUUGUUCCCUCCUUUCUUACUAGCUGAUACAUGAUGACCGUUUGCAUGGGGGGUUAUGUUAACUAUAUUCUAUUCAUGAUUCAAACUGUCUGUUGGGUAAUUUAGUUUAGACAUCGUGUCCUGAGAAUCUUGAUAUCUAGCUGUAUCGGUAUAGUAUAGUUUGUGAUUUUUCCCUCUGAAUUUAUAUAUCCACUCAGGUUGGGAUAGGUUAUGAGUAUUCUUAGUGUGGAAACAGCGGCAGUGCUGCACUUUCAUCAGAUGAUGAUAUGCCAACCUUGCGCCAUUUGGCUCUAUGUUACCCGAAUAAGAUAACAAAAUACACAUGCUCAAGUAUAUAUUUUUAAUACCCCCUGAUGAUGCCUCAUUUCUUCAGAAUUUGAGGCUGUUCUUGAUAUGCCAGGUAGGUCCGGCUAUCGAGUCAACAAUUAUAUUUUGUAGUGUGUGAUGAUACAUUAAUAGUCACACUUGAAUGUGUUACCUAAACCUGUCUUGCUUUUGUAUUUCAUCCUCCUUUGAACCAUCCAAUGACUUGUUCACUACAAAUGAUAAGUGUGAGGUGUACAGAAACCUGCACCUUAUAUUCUUGUCUUGCUUUUGUAUUAUAUCCCCCUUUGAACCAUCCGAUGACUUGUGCACUACAAACGAGAAGUGUGAGGUGUACAGAAACCUGCACUUCAUAUUUCUUACAUUCCUGUUUUAUUUAAUGUCUGAGCCUCUUUAUAUUGCUUACAUAUGUGAUUUAUCUAAUCUCUGAGCAAGUGUGACUGUUUAUAAUUGGGUUAAUAAGCCCAGUUGUUUGAAGAAGCAAUUUGCAUUCCAUAUUUUAGGAUUGUACUAAUUCUUCUAUCCGUUUUUGAUUUGCCCCUGCCAUUGUAGAAUUAUGAGUGGGUUGACUUUUCUUGACGUGUAUUUUAUACAACGAGCAACUACCUUGUGCCGUCUUCCAGCCACCAACAACCCCAUGACCCUGCAUCAGGACAAAUUUGAUUUUGGGAAGACAAAGGUCUGACAAGGAUGAUAAUGGGAUACCAGAUUACAACGACGGAGGCUCGGACAUGGAUCUGCUCAUGCUCUCAGCGGGAAUACUGGAUGUUCUCGAAGCUUUUCCAUACACACGUGCUACUUUUGGCACUUGCGUGGGCUCCAGUUUGUGUCAAUGCAAUUUGCAUCUGUCAGCGGAUUAUGGCGAGCUUGGUUAUUGGCCUACAGGAAUGUUUGUGUAUGGAUGUCACAAAAUUGUUAUGCAGAAAAUAAGAGUGUAGUACAUUUCAGAGAUACAAGUAUCUUGUUCAGUUUAGUCAGAGCACAUGCAAACAAGUAGUUCCCUAGGGUGGAGGCCUUCCACUUGCUUUUGCUAGCUAUAUGAAAUAGACUGAACCUGAACCUAACUACGAUUGGAUGUCUAAGCUGAAUUGUUGCAUCCUUAGACAUGGAAUUAUGGAUCAAUUUUAGCUCUCAA
This is a non-coding RNA of Triticum urartu, 3521 nucleotides long. Lineage: Eukaryota; Viridiplantae; Streptophyta; Magnoliopsida; Poales; Poaceae. The record is from RefSeq and is a predicted model, not a curated record.